GCCCCUGUAGCUCAGUUGGUUAGAGCAGAGGACUCAUAAUCCUUUGGUCGCCGGUUCAAGUCCGGCUUGGGGUACCA
Molecule: transfer RNA, 77 nt
Filed under: Alcaligenaceae bacterium
Lineage: Bacteria; Pseudomonadati; Pseudomonadota; Betaproteobacteria; Burkholderiales; Alcaligenaceae
Description: tRNA-Ile
Rfam family: tRNA
About the family: Transfer RNA (tRNA) molecules are approximately 80 nucleotides in length. Their secondary structure includes four short double-helical elements and three loops (D, anti-codon, and T loops).
Source: RNAcentral